This 833-nucleotide ribosomal RNA is filed under the name Streptosporangium sp. IM-6627. Its description in RNAcentral is "bacterial SSU rRNA". It matches the Rfam family "Bacterial small subunit ribosomal RNA", at positions 38 to 889 of the family's 1533-position model. The record is from RNAcentral. Lineage: Bacteria; Bacillati; Actinomycetota; Actinomycetes; Streptosporangiales; Streptosporangiaceae.
GGCGGCGUGCUUAACACAUGCAAGUCGAGCGGAAAGGCCCUUCGGGGUACUCGAGCGGCGAACGGGUGAGUAACACGUGAGUAACCUGCCCCUGACUCUGGGAUAAGCCCGGGAAACUGGGUCUAAUACCGGAUACGACGCGUCCUCGCAUGGGGUGCGCGUGGAAAGUUUUUUCGGUUGGGGAUGGACUCGCGGCCUAUCAGCUUGUUGGUGGGGUAACGGCCUACCAAGGCGACGACGGGUAGCCGGCCUGAGAGGGCGACCGGCCACACUGGGACUGAGACACGGCCCAGACUCCUACGGGAGGCAGCAGUGGGGAAUAUUGCGCAAUGGGCGGAAGCCUGACGCAGCGACGCCGCGUGGGGGAUGACGGCCUUCGGGUUGUAAACCUCUUUCAGCAGGGACGAAGUUGACGUGUACCUGCAGAAGAAGCGCCGGCUAACUACGUGCCAGCAGCCGCGGUAAUACGUAGGGCGCAAGCGUUGUCCGGAAUUAUUGGGCGUAAAGAGCUCGUAGGUGGCUUGUCGCGUCGGGUGUGAAAGCUUGGGGCUUAACUCCAGGUCUGCAUCCGAUACGGGCUGGCUAGAGGUAGGUAGGGGAGAACGGAAUUCCUGGUGUAGCGGUGAAAUGCGCAGAUAUCAGGAGGAACACCGGUGGCGAAGGCGGUUCUCUGGGCCUUACCUGACGCUGAGGAGCGAAAGCGUGGGGAGCGAACAGGAUUAGAUACCCUGGUAGUCCACGCUGUAAACGUUGGGCGCUAGGUGUGGGGGACCUUCCACGGUUUCCGCGCCGUAGCUAACGCAUUAAGCGCCCCGCCUGGGGAGUACGGCCGC